UUCAAAUUUUCACCCACUAGGCAGGCGCCGGACUGUGUCCUGGGUAUGGGGGGGGUUUGACCCUCGGCCAGCAGGGGCGCCGAUUGGCGCUCCUCAGGGGGACACCCUCCACUUUUCUGAUGUCUGGGCUGUGAUUGGUCCAGACUCCAGCCUGGACCUAUCACAAUAGGACAUCAUCUUCCGACUUCCUUCCCGCCCGAGCACAGUGUGCGCAGCAGCGGAGAGAAGAAGAUGUCGCGACUCGAGUCACCAGGAGGACCGGAGCAGGAGGAGACGGACGGAGACCAGGACUCGGCGGGAGUCGGCACUGCAGAGAGACCACAUCCGGAUCCAGACCAGGCCGCAGGUGCAGCGUGAGGUGAGGAGGUCAUCUGGAACCAGUCGGUCACAGUCGGGUCUCGGAAGAGAGACAAGUGAGUCCAGCCCUAUGCAGCAGCAGCAGCCCGGUAAGUGAGUCCUCCUGUCAGUCCUCCUCCUCCUCAUGCCUACACCAUCUGUGCCAUGCCUAUUCCAUCACCUGUGCCAUGCCUAUUCCAUCACUUGUGCCAUGCCUAUUCCAGGUUGCACACUGAAUAAAGUAUUUUAUAAUUUUUCAUAUUUCUGUUUACUUACUAUUUCAUAAUAAAGUAAUUAUAAAAUACUUUCUUUGUGUUUAUUUGAUUCCUAUUCAAGAGAAUUACUUUAUAUAUAGUCAAUAUAGGCACAGAGUUAAAUUUUUUAACAUUUUCUAAUGGUGGUGUGCCUCGUGAUUUUUUUCAUGAAACAAGUGUGCCUUUGCCCAAAAAAGGUUGAAAAACACUGCACUAGAUGACCCUUGUGGUCCCUUUCAACUCUACAAUUCUAUGAUUGUGUGAAAUAAAAGACAGGUCUUGCAAAUCCUGCACCUCUAAGAGGCUGCACAGAGACACCAGAAGCAGUGAUCUUAACAAGGGCCCCCACUGAUGAUGAUGAUUCUGUUAUUUGUACCCCACCCAUCUGACGGUUGCUUCAGCAGCUGCUCUGGGUGGCUUCCAGUAUAUACAAAAACAUUAUAGAGCAUUAAACUUUAAAAACAUUAAAAACUUCCCUAUAUGACUCCUUUAUGGAGAAGCUCCCUCUGGCCUUAAAAGUUGAAACUCCCUACCCUUCCUCUAGUGCCCUGAUCUGGAUUGCCCACACCAUACUUAUGGUUUACUUUUAAAAUUAUUGUGAGGUAUUGGUGUGGGUAGGGACACAGGUGGCGCUGUGGGUUAAACCACAGAGCCUAGGACUUGCUGAUCAGAAGGUCGGCGGUUCGAAUCCCCGCAGUGGGGUGAGCUCCCAUUGCUCGGUCCCUGUUCCUGCCAACCUAGCAGUUCGAAAGCACGUCAAAGGGCAAGUAGAUAAAUAGGUACAGCUCCAGCGGGAAGGUAAAUGGCGUUUCCAUGCGCUGCUCUGGUUCGCCAGAAGCGGCUUAGUCAUGCUGACCACAUGACCCGGAAGCUGUACGCCGGCUCCCUCAGCCAAUAAAGCGAGAUGAGUGCCGCAACGCCAGAGUCGGUCACGACUGGACCUAAUGGUCAGGGGUCCCUUUACCUUUAUUGGUGUGGGUGGUAUUAAAUGAAGCUCAGACAAAUUUGUUGAGGCUGAGGCUACCUGUGGCUACUAGCCACAAUGAUUAUACUCGAACUCCACUGCCAGAAGCAGUAUUCGUUGGGGGCUGUUGCAUUCAUGUUCUGUUUGCGGGCUUCUCAUAGGCUAUUGAGACAGCACAAUGCUGGAUUAGCAUUUGGCCUGAUCCAAUUCAUAUGAUUACAGAAGCAGCCCAUGGGGGACAGGCUUAAACACCCCCUCUCCCACUGUUACUUUUGACUUAAAAUUUGCAGCCGCUCUCACCUCACCUGCAUUUCACUUUUUAAAGCAAGUCAUGAUAAUAGAUCUGCUAUGUGACGUUUGAGCCUGCCUGCCUGUCACAUACACAGUUGCCUGGAAAGGGGGGUGGAUGGGCAAGCAAAUCUCAGAGGAUCACCAAAAUGUGUUAAAUUCCACUUGAACCACAUGCUGGGCUAUGUACAGGGACACAUCUGAUAUUCUGCACCUAAUGGCUUCCUCUUUUGCAUCCUUUAACUUGUAGGAGGUACAAUUUAUGCCUGAAGAACCCUCCAGAGGCUACUGCCAGAGUUAACAUUUUUAAUUUCCUGUUUAAUUAGAGCUGGUGAUGGCUAACCCAGGCGCUCUAUCACUGGUGGCAGCCAGUGCUGUAAAUUUCAGUUUCAUCUGCUCGCUUGAGCGACCCUGGAGAUUAGGGCUCCAUGAAUAUGAAUGAAGUUCCUCUGUGUUUCAUCAAGCACAGAAACAAUAUCCACUGUGUGGCGUUCUCAGCUUGCUGCUGUAAGGGUUUGCUUCUUUGGCCCAUAAGCUGGCUAGUUAUGGAAUUCCUGCAUGUUGCAGGUGACUUCAAAUGUUCUGCAGAGCGUGCACACAGGACAUUAUUCAGUCAGUUAAUCUUCACCAUUGCCUUAUGAAUAGGAAUGGGGAGAAAUUGGAUCCAGUUCGCAUUUAAAGGCAAUCUAACCUAAUCCAUUCUACACUUCCCAAGACAAGAAUGUGAGGAGAGCCUGCUAGAUCAGGCUGAUGGCCCUUCUAGUCUAGCAUCCUGUUCUCACAGUGGUCAACCAGAUGCUUGCAAACAGUACAUAAGCACAACAGCACACUACUCAACUCGGAUUCUCAGCAGCUUGUAUUCAGUGGUGUGUUGCUUCUGGCAGUAGAGGUAGAAUAUAGACAUUGUGGCUAGUAGCCCCAUUAAUUUGUCCAAUGCCUGUUUAAAGCAAUCCAACUUGGUUGCUAUCACAGCCUCUUGUGGAGGUGAGUUCCAUAGUUUAAGUAUGCACUACGUGAAGAAGUACUUGCAUUUAUCUUUCCUGAAUCUUCCUGCGUUCAGUUUUCAUUGGUUGUUCUAGUGCAGGGGUCGGCAACCUGCGGCUCCGGAGCCGCAUGUGGCUCUUUUACACCUUUGCCACGGCUCCGGGGCGGAUACUAGCAAGGGGAGGAGGCGCAUUGUGCGCCCCGACACUCCCCACUGUGGCGGGCGCUGUACUGGCUGUGACGUCGCAUGGGGGCAGUGCGUGCGUUAGUCACGCACCGUCCCGACGUCACCUUCCUGCCCGCCCGCUACAUUGUAAGGGGCAUGUACGCUGGUCACUGCAUUGAAAGGGGGCAUGUAUGCUGGUCACUGUUUUGAAGGCGAGUGAAGAACACACACACACAAAAAGGUAACUUGUUAAUUUAACGUUUAUUUCUAUGAGGAGGAGUAAUUCUGAGGGGUCAAACAAAGAAAUAAUUUAAAAAAGUGACAAAAAGUUAUUUUUAUAAUGACGAGUUUUGCGGCUCCCAGUUUGUUUUUCUUCGGAAACGGGUCCAAGUGGCUCUUUUUGUCUUAAAGGUUGCAGACCCCUGGUCUAGUGUUAUGGGAGAGGGACAAAAACUUUUACCUAUCUGUUUUCUCCAUGCCAUGCAGAAUUGUAUAAACAUCUAUUAUGUCACCUCUUGUUCACCUUUUGUCUAAACCAAAAGUCCCAAUUGCUGCAGCCUCAUAAGGUGAAUUAGGGGCUUCACUUGCAUGCGAAGAUAGGCUCUGGUGAACUGAGUGGAUGAGACCAAUAGUGGGUUCAGUGGUCAAGAAGGCAGUUACUGCAAAUGCCAUAGAGAGAAUUGAGGGGCAGGUGGGGCUCGUCAACCUGGGAAGGGAACCCAUCUAGGAGUAGGACAACUCUGAUCCUAAACCUCUGCUGUCUUGUAGGAUAUCUUCAGGAGAAGAAAAGGCUACACAAAUCUGGAGUGGAGUCCCUAAGGCGGUUGGAUAGCGCCUUGUAAGCCUCCUUCCAGCAACUCCUGCAGCCAAGCUGGUGCCAAAUGGAUUGUUUUCCUUUCCUUUGGACCACAUCAGUGAGACCGAGAGGGGGGUCUUGUUGUCUGGGCAGCCCAGGACCUCCAUGCACACUGCCCAGUCUUGCACCCCAGGGAAGUCACUUAGCUGCUGCUAGCACAGCGGUUUGGCUUCACCUCUGGAGGCACAUUCCAUUGUGUCUUGAGACAGACAGAUGCCAACAACAAUUUCAUGUACAGAAAGGAUGGGGAGCCUCUGGGCCAUGGGCCAACUUGGGCUCACCAGCUGUCCAAAUUGGCCCACUUGCCAUUUCGGCAAGCCUACCUGCCUCACGUGGCUUCAAAGGAGCUAUCGGGAGCUUAAAAGUGAGCUCCCAGUUGUUCAUUUGUUGCAGUAAGUUCUUCUCCCCCUGACUGUCAGCUGAUGGGCCAUGGGAGCCUAGAUCACAAAGGAUCCUGGAGAAACCACUGCAUUUUUCCCUGAAGGGGAAAGAAAACUGUUUUAACAGCAGCUUCAAUGUAAACACCUUUACAACCCUGGAGCAAGCUUUUUUGAAGGUGUGCUGGAAAUGCACUUUCAAAGAGGCUUGUCACUUGAUGUCAUGGGCAGCCCUGCCCGCCUGCCGAAUUUGGCCACGUGAGGGGUAGAGCAGAUAAGGAUCUGGCCCACUGGGAGGAAAAAAGCUCUCUCCAGCACAUCUAUAGCUCUGUCAUUUACCACCCUGCCCUGUUUUCUCUUCCUCAUUUUGCCAGUCAUUACAGUUAGCAUGCAGAAGGUGGCGACAUUUCCAUACACAUUGAAAUCAAAAUGCAUAGUAUAAACCCAACUGCCAGGCAUAACUCUGCAGCAACUGUUUAAGGAGGGGGGAUGCAUUUGGGAAGUGUAGUUGAUUCCCUUAAUUCCACAAGGCUUCAUCCGUUUUCUGUCCUGCCCAUCAGGAUGCCCAUCAGGGGCUGAAACAGAUGCGAAGCCAGCAAUCUGCGAUGAGAUCUGUAGACGUAAUUGUUAUGUACUAAAGUUCUCACCCUGGGCCAUCAGGGGGAUACUGUAGAUAGUUAUGCAAAUAAGGGAUCGAAAGUGACGUUCAGUGAUUGGAUAGUUUUAGAAAGUUGUUACAAUUACGUAGUUCUGGAGCUCUAUAUAGGCAGGCUGGCUGAACCCUUCAGUUCAGUUCUGUUCUGGCCUGUGAAUAAACAAGAGCUGUUUGAAGAAUUGCUGUGUCGUCUGAUAUGUUCACCCACAACUUAACAGUAAUUGUCAUAAUAUAUUUUUUAUGUCAGCCACCUUGGGCUGCAACUUUUGUCCAGGCAACAGAACUGGGGGGAGUUGCUGGCGAAAUUCCCCUCAUGCCUUUUUCACAACCCAAAAUCUCUAUUAUCCUUGUAGCUAGUUCAGUUGGUUACAGCAUGGUGCUGCUAAUGCCAAGAGCACAGGUUCGAUUCCCUCAUGGGCUACCUUCGUGUUCCUGCAUUGCAGGGGGUUGAGCUAGAUGGCCUCCAGGGUCCCUUCCAACUCUGCAAUUCUAUUGUUCUGGGAACAUAUUGGGCCCUGUAUCAUGCCUUUGUCUUUCCCAGGCAUGGUAAACAACAACAUGAGACCACGGUGAUCCAGGAAAUGGAUAAUGUCAUGGGGAAGAGUCAUUUUUCUGGAUCACCCAUCCCCUUCCUGAGAGACCGAGAGAAUUCAUAUUCAUUUCUCCUUUCCAAGGAAUCUGUGUUAAAGUCAUAUCUGGUAUAAUUCAUCUGAACGUUGAAAAAACCACAUAUAAGUAAAAUAGGAAGUUGGUAAGGGCACCACUCUUUCAACUUCCUCCUUCAGUUCUAUGUACUUUUCUUUUCCCCCCAUUUUUUAAUUGAUUUUCCAAAUUUGUAACAAACAUAACAACAAACAAGAAAAACAUUACAAUAUCAACAAACAAACAAACAUUUAUCCUAACUGUUAUAAUCCCCGUUUAGUUAUCAUUAUUGAAUGACUUCCUUGAAUCCCCCUAGCUGAGUUUCCAUAUGGCUCAUUGUAGCAGUUUUCCAACACUAUUUUCAUAUAAGAUUUACUUGUUUCAAUUAAAUCUUUCUUUCUUUUCAUUUUGACUUCUAUCCAUAAAGGUAAAGGGACCCCUGACCAUUAGGUCCAGUCAUGGCCGACUCUGGGGUUGCGCGCUCAUCUCGCUUUAUUGGCUGAGGGAGCCGGCGUACAGCUUCCGGGUCAUGUGGCCAGCAUGACUAAGCCGCUUCUGGCGAACCAGAGCAGCGCACGGAAACGCCCUUUACCUUCUCGCCGGAGCGGUACCUACUUAUCUACUUGCACUUUGAACUGCUAGGUUGGCAGGAGUAGGAACCGAGCAACAGGAGCUCACCCCGUCGCGGGGAUUCAAACCUCCGACCUUCCGAUCGGCAAGCCCUAGGCUCUGUGGUUUAACCCACAGUGCCACCCGUGUCCCUUCUUUCUUCUAACAUCCCUUCUUUCGUCCUAACACCUUUCUUUCUUUUCAUUUUGACUUCUAUCCAUAGUAUUAUAUAAUUUCACAUAUUUAACUCCUAGUUCUAUGUACUUUUUGAGGGGAAAACGUACAUAGCGCUUUAUGACCAAAGGGGCAAUGAGUUGCUGGGUGUGAGGGGAAGCCCGGAAGCUUUGUGGGUGCCACUGUACCCAUGGGACCGUGUUGGAGAUUGCUGCUUUCUCUCCUUUUUUCUGCAAGAUCCCUUAGUGACUUUUAUGAGCCUUGUCCUUAGUUCUGUCUGGCUCCUUCCCUACAGGAAAUCAAGGCUUCUUUCCAGAAUUUGGCUCCUCACUGCUUUGCUCUUGCUUUCCCAUCCAGCGCAUCUUUUUGUCUAUUAAUUAAAUCUCACUCAAAUGCCUGCUUCAGGUACUUAAAAAGAGGUGGGAUCCAAUUAACUUUAUGGAGCUUUAACACAGCUUUUUUUUUUUUUAAUUUGUCAGUUGAUGGCUCAGGCUGGACGGGGAGUUGACUUGUGAGAGGAUGUGCUCAUGAACUUUUAUGGCAAGUGUCUAGACAAGGCCUCUGUUCGUAAACACCUCUGCUAGUGUGUAUUGUGGAAGCAUCUGGCAAGAAGCUCCAGAACAGAUGCCCCGUCAUUAAAGCAUACAGAAAAUGAGGUUACACUAUAGUAGUCCCAUGGCGGUACAGUCAACAGAAUUAAGGAAUGGGAAGCAUCUCAGAAUGCCUGCUGGGACUCCACCAGCAAAAACCUGGGAGUUUUAUAAUCCCACUGUGCAGACUUUAAAUCCAAAUAGUCUUAGAUUUCCUCAAAAAGAAAAACAACAGUGUUCUAGCCUUUUUAGAUACUAUUAAGCUUAAUACGUUAAUACAUGGGCCAGAGGCCAGAAAGGAACUAAGUACUUUUGGUGCUCAGGCGAAAGAGCUUCAGUUUGGCUCCUCCUGAACCAAAUUGGCUUAACUUUCACAAUUCACUCAAAGUCCAAAAUUCAGUUUUUGGGAAGGGGCCAUAAAUCCAGAACCUGAAUUUAUGUUGCAUGCCUGUAAAGUAUGAGUCUCAUAGGGUGCUGUAAAAAAGCUUAUUGAGAUAUUGCAAACAGGUUGUUGGCAGCAGGUUUUUUAAAAAUAAUAAUAAUAAUAAAAAUCUUACUGGAUUCUCCCUUGAAAUAGUAAAUCCAUAUUAGAUGGGGAGGGAGCGGAACAUGGGGGGCAUUGUGUGAUUUGCUGAUUGCACACAAAAAAUACCAUUAUGGAACCACCCACGCAAGAGCUGAACAAAAGCACUUUGGAAACACCAAGUAUCUCUUCCCUGCCACAAGCAAACUGCUGCCCUUUCCUCACACAACUUCAUUUGGGCUGCUAUGAAAUGAGAUGCACCAUCCAAUGUGGAGAAGCUGAAGGCUGCAGUAUAUCCGAAAUAACAACUCAAGGUCACAGCAUUUCAUGUUAGGAUAUGAACAGAUAAGUAAAUAUGGCACUUUGGGUGGAAUAGUUUGGAGCAUCAUGAAAAUGGAAAGAGGAAAACCAAUAUUUAUGCAUAAGACUGUAUGCUGGGAAUUGCUGGGUACUCCAGAGAGUGAGAGGAAUUCAUCCUGUAAAGGGAGGAUAGUACUUGACAAGUGGCAAAAAAACCCCCACACCCUCAAGAGGCUUCUUUGGAGAAGAAGCAAUCUGAUAUUUUGGACUAGCACUUGUGGAACCUUGAUUAGAAAUAUAUGUUCUAUUCUAACACCGUAGUGCUAAAGGACUAUAAGGAUUUCUCCCCCCCCCCCCAUGUGAAUUCAGUGUUGAAAGAAAGGCAGGAGACUGAAUAAAGGUCACCUUGUUCUCAGCUAUUUAAGAAGUGUAUUGGGUUUUCACAUACCGCAUUCAGUGAGUGUACAGUCUGUGCACUUGUGUACACAGAAAUGUACACUUGUAGUUAUUCACACGUCACAUUCAACGUGUGCAUUCUGUGUGCACAAGAGUUGAUCUGUAUAAACCAAGAAAUGUACACUCUUUCAUCCAACUUGGGGAAUCACUGGCCUAUAGGCCAAACUUGUGCACACAAGAAUCACUGGCCUAUAGGCCAAACUUGCUCGCAAGGCCAUUUUCAGCAAUCCACACCCAUCUAUUCUACAUCUGACAUAAUACAUGAUGUCAACUGUGGGGCAGAAAAUGGUGCAGCUUCAAAGGAACAACCUAGAGCUUAAAAUGAGCUCCUGUUUGUUGCUUUGCUGAAGCAAGGCACACUCUCACUACCUUGAAACUCUGAAAACUGGAGGUUCAAAAAUCAGUGUGGGGCUGCUUGAAAGCUCUUUUGUAAACAGCCCUGUGCUGCUGUUUGAACCCCCCCCCCCCGCUGCACUUUGAAGUCUAGAUGUUUGGGGCUUCAAAGCGCAACAUCACCUGACAUCAGGGGAUCAACAGAUGGGUGGUUCUGCCCAGUUGUGGUCCUUCCAGCAAAACAGGAAGAUAAGGAUGCAGCCUGCUGGCCAGAAUGGGGCAAGUUGAUGGCUUCUUUCCAUGGGGGGUGUUGGUCCUCAAACCCUGUUGUACAUUCCCAGUUAGUCAGGAAGAAGCUGGCAAGUACGAAGUUUAAAAUCUAAUUAUUGUUGGAAUUAGCAUUGCCAGGCCAUGUUGCCUGAGGCUGUUGGGAAUUUAAAAUCUAUCUGUUGGAAUGUCCUCUUUUUUUUUUUUUAAUGAGGUGUAAUUACAGCACAGAGUAGCAUUUUGAAAAACAUUGUGAAAAAACCUAUUACGAUGGGGAGAUGAGAUUGCCAAUUAAUUUUCUCCUAACAAGUCUAUCAGGCUGAUCAGCUCAGCUUCCCAGCCAGAGGUAACAGGUUCAGGUCAACUUAGCCUACAGUGGAGAUCUAUAGUGUUCUCUGUACUACUGAUGGUCUGUAGGUUCCAUUCAGGCAGCAUGUUGAAAGAUUGCGGACCAGUUGACAAUAUCUGUAAUUGGCCCUGUAUUUGAUUUAUCUUUUCUGGCGCUGUAGAGAUCAAUACCAUUUUGACUGGGACCAAUAUUAUCAGACAGGCUGUGAUUUUUAUAACCCAGCCCUGGCUUUGACAAUGCUGCCAAUACAGAAGCAAAAUAAACAAUAAUGGAAAAAAGGUUAUUAAAACCUAUGCAUCUGCUAGUUUUGAGGCUGCAGUCCUAAACAUACUUGCUUUGGAAUAGGAUCAACUUGUCUGAGUUUGAGGGUGGGGGAAAGCCCCAGCAAUUGUCUCCCAGCAGCAGCACUGCUGGUGUUUAUUGGGGAGGGAGGGGAAUGAGUGAUUGGCAAGUUCUGGGUUUCAUGAAUGCACUGGUGGAAUCAAUGCACCAGGCAGCCCCAGACUUAUAGCUGCUUCCCACUUCCCCCCCUUCCCAUCCAGCAGCGAUUCUGCUGCCUGAAGGCUGUAGCUGAGGUUCUGCUCCACUGGGUGAGACAUUCCUGCAUGGGAAUAGGACACGGUGAACACAAAAAGAAAAGACUUCGAGAAGUAUAUAGGAACGAUAUUUUGAACACAAGAGCUAGAGGGCUGGCAGUGCUGCUGUCUCUGUCCCCUGGCGUGCUCCUGUGAGACACAAGAUAUGCAGAACUCUUUAGCCUUUGAUAUCCAGUGUGGACAGGAACAGGGGUCUGGUGUUUUCCAUGAGACUUCAGUACUAGACCUGUGUAUUGGAGUGGGGACCUGUGGGGUCAAAUGAGAUGUAAUGUUAAGCAUGCCAUCGGGAAGCCCAUCCGGGCGUCUCAUAAAUAGCAUGCAUUCUGGAUGUAUUUGUGUGUGUAUGGGAGGCAGAUUUUCUUCAGGAGCACAAUGCAUAGGGAAAGAGCUCUAAUUGUUUCUACCUUUCCCUCCCUUGGUUCCGUUCUUUCUCCCCAGGCCGAAUAGCAGCAUGUUGUGGGGGUGGAUAUCUUCAGAGGAAAAGGCUAAAUUUCCCGUUUCUGUGUGCCACAAUGCAUUAAUAGCUGCCCUUAAUUAAAAAUAACAACACCAUGACAAGCUUCCUAAUGAUGUGCUUUGCAGCAUGGCUAGCUUAGCCCAGGAGGUUGCCACAAAAACAUUUUUUGCUCAGACCCUGAGAUAUUAGACUGAACCACAUCUGGGUCCAGGUUUAUAUGGGCCCUCAAGCACCAGAUUAUCAGUCAGGCUUCAUCUUCCCCAUCCAUUUAGUACAGGAUGGGAAAUGUGGCCUCAGAUGUAGUUGGACACCAGCGUCUACCAACCCGGUCACCAAGGCCAUUGACCAGGGAUGAUGGAAUCCAACAACUUCUGGAGAACCACAGGCUCCCUGUCCCUGAUUUAGUACCAGUGGGCCCAGUCUCUGUCAAUGGUGGAGGCAACAGUGAGGAGGAAGAGCUCUUCUUUUGGUGGAGAUUGAUCCUAAGGGAGAGGGUGAGUGGUGGUUGCUACAGUUGCUGUUUCCAUAAUCCCUCAAUGAGGACUUGGCCCAAAAGGAAAGAGUAAAAUGGCUGAUUGGCAGCUAAUAUUCCACCUCCCCCUUAUUACCAUGGCAACUGGGAGCCCUGGUGUUCUGUCUUUCUGUAGGCCCCAACCAUGCCAACUGCUAAUGCCACCCUUGACCUGAACUGUCAAGAGUCCUAACAGGUUGUGUUAUCAAAUCCUAGGUUUGAGGAGGGACCAAGGAUCAUCCACAUUGUAGCUGUGCUCCAUAUUGACGGGUCUCCUGAGAACAGCCUGUCUUAGUUGGCUACACAUAGGAAAACAAGCAGCAUAGGAAUACUGAGCUAGAUGGACCAUUGGUCUACACUCACUGGGAGGGUUUCAGGCAAGGAGUCUUUCCCAGCCCUACCUAGAGGUGCCAGGGAUGGAAUCUGAGACCUUCUGCAUGCACCUCUGAGCUAAAGCUCUUCCCCUUUCACCAGGACUGGCCUUAGGUUUGAGAAGGCACUGGGCAAAAUGCUAGGGUCUUGUUGGGCUUACUUUCCUUGUAGUAGUGGCGGCAGCCAGCCAGCCUCAAUGCUCUGGGAAGAAAUCGGACCUCAUUUUAUUUUCACACAAUUCCGCAGGCUAAUGCUAUACCAGGGACAUUGUAGGAUAUUUAAAUAGCUGCCAAGCACUGCUCAGUGCAUCAGACUUGGAGGGAAAUUGAGGGAUGUUCUGGUCAGGUGUCAGCAGUAGGCUCUGCUAGGUUGCUGGGACCCUGGCAGCAGUCCAAGGAUGCCAGGUUCUGACACAAGCCCUGGGGUCCACACUUCAGCCCUCUCUUCUUCACCCCCUUUUAUGGAUAGCAUCUGCUUCUGUGUGUGAUGGCCUGGGAUUCCGAUUCAGGGGCUGAACCGGAGGAAUCCCAGCCUGCACAGGAGUCCCCGCCUCCAGGGCCGGCUGAACUGGGGCAGGGCCUUGAUUCUGAAGCGCCUGCACCUGUGCCAGAUCCUCAGGAGCAGGCACCAGGUGAAUCCACUCUGGCUCCGGAGGUGGUUGAGGACUCAGUGCCUACAGGUGAGUCUCCCCCUGGGCACAGUAACCCUUCGGCCUCUCCUGAACUGCAGAGGUUCAGGGCAGAGAGGCGAAGGGAACUGGUUUCUCCCAGGAGGAGUGCUCGCCUUAAGGCCAGGAGAGGCGGGUCUCCUGGGGGCCGGGACCGCCCCUGGCCUCAGAGAAGAUACAAGGCCAGUCAGCCCGGUCCCAGGUUGUGGGAGCAACGUCGUCAAUGAGCUGUUUCGGCCAGCAUCCAGUCCUGUUCCCCCAGUGUUCCUGUCCCCACCCGGCUUCCUGCUUCGGACCUCACCUCGCUCCUUGAGAACUGUUUCCAGACCAGUGACCCAGGACCGGACUUUGACUACGCCAACGGUAACCUUCCCCCCGGGACCAGCACACUGUGUCUCUGGUGUCAUCAGCAAGAAAGGAAAGAUUGAUUCCUGUGCAGUUUUUCUCCUGAACUUUUGCUCUCCAGGAAUCAAUAAUUAAUGCGGCCCCAAGAUGGCAAGAGUGCACGUCCACAAUUACCUUCCCAUAGGUAGGCCGUGAAUGGUUCUUGGCAGAUGGACUGAUUGCACUUGUUACGUGUGAAAUGCCAUGUGCUUCCCUAGUCGGUUCUCGAGCUAAUCAAAUGCUCCUGCACAAAGAUCAGAUGCUCACUGCCUUGCAAAUGUUUGACCAACGGUAGCCUGCCUCGUGGAGAAAUGGGGGCGGGGUGUGUGUGCGCGCAAAGCAUAUAAAUCUCAUUAUGACAACGUGUCUAGUAAUGGGGUCUUCCAGGGUGCCUUUCAGCACAUAAAUAUUUCAGUGCUGCUUGCCAAAGCUAACUUUUAGAAUACUAUGCCCAUGUAAUUUUGUGUAAUUAUUACAUUUACAUCCAAUGAGCUCAAGGUGACAUUUAUUGUUUACCCUUCCCUGCUUUAUCCUCUCCUGUGAUGUAAGCUAGAAUGAGGGACAAUCACUGGCUCAGGGUCACCCUGUGAGUUUCAUGGCUGAGUGGGAAUAUGAACCCUGGUCUCCCAGGUCCCAAUUUGACACACUAACCAUUACACCACAUGCUAAUGUACCCAAAAGUUUAUUUCUGAACAAUUUCUUAAAUCUUUAUUGAUAAAUACUUGUCUGGGUUUGUACUAUUUGGUGGCAUUAUAUUUGUGAAACUGUGUUCACUGGGUACCUAACUAGGCCCAUUUGCAGUACCGUUGUGUUACUCAGGUGGGGCAGAGGGACACACUUCCUUCGCAGUGCGGAAAAUGACAUCAUACAAACAUUCCCUUUUUUCUGAAUCAAAUGACACCUUGUCUUUCCAACACAAACCUACCCUUGGAAUGAUCCUUGCUUCUGGCUGAGUUUGCUUCUUUUACUUGCUGUAUUGUAAUUCUGUUGUGUGCAUUGAUAGCCAGCUAUUGCCCCCUCUGAGACACUGUGUUUUGUGUGUCUGUCUGUCUCCAGAACCAGAUGUACAAAGUAAGGGCAAAAAGUCAGCUGCCACUUCCCAUCAUCCUUGAGGAUAAAUUGAGCAGAAAUUCAUUCAGGGGAUGCUUUAAAAAUUGCAUCAGUGCAGCACUCUUCCCUUUGCCCAGACUGGUCAGUAUGCUCUCUAGGUAUGAUACUGUGAUGAUUAAAAGGGACACGGGUGGCACUGUGGUCUAAACCAUUGAACCUCUUGGGCUUGCCAAUCAGAAGGCCGCUGGUUCGAAUCCCCGCGAUGGGGUGAGCUUUUGUUGCUCUGUCCCAGCUCCUGCCAACCUAGCAGUUCGAAAGCAUACCAGUGCAAGUAGAUAAAUAGGUACCACUGCGGUGAGAAGGUAAACGGCGUUUCCUUGCGCUCUGGUUUCCGUCACAGUGUCCCGUUGCACCAGAAGCGGUUUAGUCUAAGGUUACCCCGUUUCCAGGGGACAGUCCCCGGAUUUACAGAUCAGUCCCCAUGCAAAAUCCAUUGAAGUUGAAAAGUGUCCCCGGAUUCAUUGAAAAAAAUCUGGUAACCUUAGUUUAGUCAUGCUGGCCACAUGACCUGGAAAUCUGUCUGUGGACAAACGCCAGCUCCCUUGGCCUGAAAAGCAAGAUGAGCACUGCAAUCCCAUUGUUGUCUUUGACUGGACUUAACAAUCCGGGGGGUGCUAUACCUUUUUACCUUACUGUGAUGAUUGGGGUGGUGGUAGAUUUUGCCUAAAUGUGUUAUGAUUUAGUAACAGAAAUAAUGGUUUGAUUCAACUUUGCUAAACACAGAACCCCCCUUGGAUUUUGUUAUGGUAACCAGCCAAGAGGCAGAGCUAGCUGGAUGGCCCAUUAGCAGGGGACAAAGGCUAAUUGCCAGAAAUUGGAAAGGAGAAUUAUUACCAACAAAAGAGGAAAGGCAGAGUAAAUUAUUUGAAUAUCUCAAACUGGCAAAAAUGGCGAAGACAAUUAGGAGACAGCCAAACCAAAAGUUCAAAAAGAAGUGGGAAAUUUAAAAAGAAUAUUUAAAACCUGGACAUGCUUUGAUUAAUUUUCGCAAACCACAAUAUGGAUUAUAAGUAUAGUAUUCAGAUAACAGAAGAAAUGGCAAAAUGAUUAAAGAAGCAGUUUAUUAAACAGAUAAGACAGACCCGCAUUGAGGAAGACUGAAGUCUGUUGGGGAAGAUAAGGAAUUGGGAAUUAAGAACAUGGUGGCAUACGUUCUUUUGUAAGAACAUAUGGAUUUAUGGAUGUAUGUAUGUUUUUUAUUUUUGUUAAUUUCUUGUGUGUGUUUGUUAAGUAAGAAAACUAAUAAAAAGCAUAUUUUUUAAAAAAGACUAGUGAUGGCCCAUCAAGGAAACCAUCAGAGGGCCAGACUGUUGGGCAAGGGGACGUAGGGCCCCUUAUUUGUUGGGUGGCAGUGGGCAGAGGCAAAGGUUGGGUUUAAAGUUUCAACCUUGAAUGGUUGAUAGGAGGUCCUGGGAGUCAGCAGAAAGAAGGAGAGGAAGGAGCAGAACUCCAUGUGAAUUGGGAACGAUAGGAAGGAACGAAGAAAGAGGAUGGCUUUUUGCUAUCCUUCACAUCCAAUGCUGCCCUUAUGCGGGAAGCCAGACCCUCAUAGGAUGUGAAUGCGCUGCAAUCCCUCCAUCUAAGUUAAGGUUGUAUAUAUGUGAGAAUAAAACCAUACAUCAUGAAGACACUGCAGUCUCUGCUGUGCUUUAUUCCCCAAAGGAAACACAUACCCUGGGUAAACAUCUGGAAUCUUGUGCUGCUGGUGGAGAUUGGGGUGGGGUGUAACAAUAUUUUAGGUUUUGUGACAUGUUUGUCUUCCUGCUGGAUAAUGUGUAAAAUGAGUUGCCUUGCUGGAAAAGAAGGUACAGCAACUUGAGGCACACAACUUUAAUCUACAGGACAAGAUACUGAGUUUCUUGAUAGAGAUGAGUGGACUGUGCUGGAACAGCAACAUAGGUAGGACGCCCCUACAGAGAAGGAAGACCACCCAUUGCAAGAAACGAACCCCUGGAGGAAUGUGGCUCACAGAAAUGGGAUUGUCAGGAGCCAUGCUGUGUUAUUAAGUCGGCAAAAUCGAUUCCAUGCCCUCAUCUUGGAUUCUGGGCUAGAGGAGCUAGGAAAGCAGCCGCUGACCUCAGAAUACCCUGAGGUGACUGUGAAAGGUACAAUGCUCAGAACUGAUUCCUGCCCCCACCUCAAAAGGAGGAAAAGACAGGAGGAGAUGGACUUGGAGGAGCCGUUUUCCAUUCUUCACCUAAUCCCUUCAAGAUCUAAGACUACUGAUCAUGGAUGAUAACCAACUUGCUACCUUUCAAGGAAAUGAUCUCAGAAAAAGGGAAUUGCAGUCUGGAGAAGGCAAGUUCAAAGGAAGGAGUAGGAAGAACUUGAACCAUAAGGUUCCUGACUUUGUAACCUAUCCCAAUAAUACCCAGAUAAGAACCAAUAGACAAGAAGGAAAGUCUCAAGGACAGCAGUUGCAGACUAUAGAAAUCAUUGAUGUUGCUUUGGAAAGCACAGUGUAUGGAACAAUUCCUUCUACUCCCCAGAAUAGACAUGUGGUAGGUAGACUCCCUAUUGAGAGCGACAGAGACAGUAGUGUGCAAAGGAAACAGGAUAUCCCGGGAGGUGUGCUAUAUUCCAGGUGCAAAGAUUCACAAUGAGAGAGAGAAGUUGCCAAGUCUUAUAAAGCCAACUGACCACAACCCCUUCCUUCUAUUUCAUGUGGGUCCUAACUAAACAUCAGGAAAAACUUUCUGACAAUAAGAGCAGUUUGGCAGUGGAAUGGUCUCCCUCAGGAGGUUUUGGACUCUCCUUCCUUGGAGGUUUUUAAGCAGAGGUUGAAUGGCCAUCCAUCAUGGAAGCUUUAGCUGAGAUUCCUGCACUGCAGGGGGUUGGACUUGAUGACCCUCAAAGUCCUUUCCAAUUCAAAAAUUCUGAUUCUAGGUCUUGGAUUCCCAAUGCCACCCAGGAGAGGGUUCCAUAUUCUCUUUAUUUAUCUGUGUGUUUUCUUCCACAAAUGACUUCGUGAAAUUCUGGGUUUUUCAGGAGACACCAUUUCCAGGGAUUUGUAAGAUGCUAGAUGCUGAGGCGCCAGAGCCAUGCCUCGUCUGUUCUGUGUGACUAAGAUUAAGACUCUGAAAAGAAAGUAGACCUCCGUAGCCCAUUGAGGCAGCUACUUACUUUUGUCCACUUCUAAAGCAGUACCUGUAAUCAGCACUUUCUAUGCCUAAGUAAAGCCAGCUUCUCAGUUCUACAUUCCCAAUACAAACACUGAAGGAAUUAAAGAUGCCUAUGGACUGUUAAUAGUCAGCCUGCUGUAACGUGCUCUGUGUGGGUGCAGAAAGCUGUUACAAGAUUUCUAAGUGGUAUAAUACAAUGGUAUCCUAAAACACAGAUUCUUCAGGAUCCAUGGGGCCAGAGGCGAAAGCAGGUAAAGCAGCUGAUGCAAAUCUCACCUUUCUGCAGUAGGCUGAGUCACACUCACACAUCCCGUUGUGUCUUCCGUCCAGACAAGCAAGAAGCAUUGUCAGAAUUCAAGUACACACUCCAGCCAGGCAAAAUAAAGGCAGUGUGUGGGAUGAGAAGGGUGUGCUGAGGAAGCAGCGUACAUUUGUUGCUUGGUCCACAUUUUCCUCAGGCACCACCCACCACUUGGAUGUGGCCCCUGGAGGGUUACCCAGAUAGGAAUGUGGCCCUUGGUAUGAAAGCAGUUCUCCACCCCUGGCUCAAAGUAUCCUGGAGGUGGACAUGGUGGGCUGGCACCCUUAAGCAGCAGCACCGCUGCUAGGACAUUUUGUUGCAGGUUGUUGUUGUUAAUUUAGUUUAUAUACCACCCUUUGUCCAAAGAUCUACUUGCGCUUUGACAUGCUUUCGAACUGCUAGGUUGGCAGGAGCAGGGACUGAGCAAUGGGAGCUCACCCCAUCACGGGGAUUCGAACUGCCGACCUUCUGAUCGGCAAGUCCUAGGCUCUGUGGUUUAACCCACAGCGCCACCUGAGUCCCUCUAAAAGCAUCCUGACAGACAACCUAAUAAUAAGUUAGUCAUCAAGAUAACAAUCCUCUCCCCAACACUUUUACAGGCCAUAGUUUAUGUAAUAGCCAAAGACCUGGGUAAAGAGGAAUGUUUUUGCCGGGUGCCUAAAGACAUGUAAUGAAGGCACCAGGUGAGCCUCUCUGCGGAGAGCGUUCCACAAUUGGGGAGUCACCACAGAAAAGGCCCGUUUUCUUGUUGCCACCCUCUGAACCUCUGUGGGAUGGAGGAUAUAGAGAAGGGCCUCAGAUGACAAGCACAGGGUAUGGGUUCAUAUGGGGAGAGGCGAUCCAUAAGGUGUUGAUCCUUAAGUUUCCACUUUUAACAAUAAUAACAAAUAUAAAACUACAAUUUAUUAUGAUUAUUCUUUUGGGAAUAGGCAUGCUUGUGGAAUUCAGCUGUGAAUUCUGAUACAACUGACCUAAUCCAUACUUACUGAGUUAAUAUGCAGGUCGAAAUGUCAGCUAUAUGUUUAAAGCAUGUGAUUUCCCCCAGAGAAUCAGGGGAACUGUAGUUUAUCAUUCCCAGCACCCUUAACAAACUGCAGUUCCCAGGAUUCUCUGGGGAAAAUAUGUGCUUUACAUGUAUGAUGUGUAUGCUGCCCUGCUUAUCAACCACAUUUCACACGCCAAGUUUAUUGGCUCAAAAAUGAAUAAAUCAACAAUGCAAAUAUUUAAAAUGCAAAGUUUUAGAAUUAAUGUGUUAAGAUAUGCGUAUUUUGUGAGAAAAUACAUUUUAAAAUGCAUUAUUUAAAUGUGUAAAAUGUUUAAAUGCGUUUAAAAUGCAUAAUUUAAAACUUUUUUUUGCAGAUUAAAAAAAUCACAGAUUUAUGCAGAAACAGGAUGGAAUGACCUUAGGUGACACACACUUUGAAUAGACAGAUCCAUUCCAUCCCUAUUCAGGAAUCUUCACAAUAAAAAGGCAGGAUGUGGAAAAACCCCCCCAGUAAAUCUCUAGUUUACACCUGGCCUACUUCAAAGGGUUGUUGUGAAGAUAAAAUGGGAGGGGAAACCUCUAAGAGGAAGGGUGGCAUGUAAAUGGAAUGAGUAAAAACCCAGAGUGAAAUAUAUGCUAGCAACCCAAGGGAAAAAUGUGUCAAAGCAUUAGAAAGGAACCUGGCUCAUCAGAAAUGUUAUUUAUAGAAGCCUCCAAAGCCACUGUAAGCCCUAAUUGGUGCCAAGGCUGCUUCAAAGGAUUUCUGUGAAAUCCUCACAAAUAGAGCGACACCAUCCUCAGCCAUUCAGCUGGGGAAUGCAAUAUUAAAAGAAUGGCAGUGGGCUGGGGGGGAUAACUUGAUAAAGGUUGCAAACACAGAGAAGGGAAAAGACAACAAAACAUCCACUUCUCCAAUUUAAAACCCAAUCACAAAUCCUGCUUGCAGCUGCACUGUGACAAAUUGUGUGCUCAUAAAUAAAUUCUAGAGGCUUUUUUAAGGAACCGACACUGUAAAAAAAGGGGGGAAAGAGAAAAAUAGUGGCAAGAAUUAAGGCAAACUUAGCCUUCCUUCUCCAUAAAAUAAAAAUAAAAUCUCAGUGUCAGCACAUCAACUAUGGCACCACUUAAAGAGGGAUGCUCACCUGGCACCAUCGUUAUAAAUUUUUAGGUGCCUGGCAAAUGCAUUCAUUUUUUUAAUCAGGCAUUUAGCUUUUAACUAUGGCCUUUUUGCACAGGUGGGAUGCUUUAAUUUUAAAAAAAAAUAGAAUUGUCUUUUAGGUUUUUCUCUUUUUUUGAUGCUGGUUUUAAUGUAUGUACAUGUUUGUUUAUGCUUAAAAUAUUGUAAAUCACAUUGGGUUGCUGUAGCAAAAAAAGCAACUUGUAAAUUUAAUUCAUCAUCAUCAUCAUCAUCAUCAUCAUCAUCAUCAUAAAAGGGCUCUUUCACACAGGGUCUCCAUAUCGCAAUGUUGCAUUCAGAUGUUGCAGACAUGUUGUUGACAACUGUAUCAUUCUUGCUGUUGUUAAGAAAUAUAAUAAUUACUGGAUUCUCCCCUGGGAAGAGUAAAUCUGGAUUAAAUAAAAUGUGAGGGGCGGAGGAAUACAGGCAGGCACUUGGAUGGUCAUGACACUUUGUAGAGUCUUGGGCCACAUCUGUAUUGUACAUUUAAAGCACUACAAUACUCCUUAAAUAGUCGUACUUCCUCCAAACAAUCCUGAGAAAUGUAGUUUGUUAAGGGUGGUCUUUGGAGACCCUAUUUCCCUUAGAGAGAUACAGGUUUCCAGCAUGGUUUAUCAACCAGUCCCUCUUCCCAGGGGGGAAUUCUGGGAAUUGUAGCUCUCCUAAUAAUUCUCAGUGCUCUUAACAAGCUACAAUCCCCAGGAUACUUUGAGGGAAGCCAUGACUGUUUAAAGUGGUUUGAUACCGCAUUAAAUGAAUAGUGUGGAAGUGGUCUUGAAAAAUGUGAAACACCCACCCCAUGACAAACACUGGUCCAGAAGCACCCAAGGAGUGCCCUGUGGCUCUCAGCUCAGUUUCAUGAGGCCCUGGGCCUAAUUUCAUGUGGAUCUCAAGAAGAGAAAGGGCCAGUGGUGGCUGGUGGCCAUUGGGACUGGUGAGACACAAGGAAGGGAGACCAACAGUAUGUGGAGCCAGAACUGCUUCAAGACAGAGCCAGCUAAUUCUGGUUUGCCCCCAUCCUCCUCCUGCCUGUUGACUUCCACUAGAGCAACACUGAGACUGAGAAGGAAGGUGGAAGUUGACAAGGCACUGCGUGAACAAGAAGGCAAGCAGGUUGUGGUUACCUGGUGGCACUAGGAUGGUGGGGCAGAAAGGGAGGUAACUCCACCUGCCUCCAACCCCACCCAAGUUUUGACUCCAACCUUAUAGGGUAACCUCACAGCACAGUCAGACUUUCUCCCAUCUCUUCCUCCUAUAGAAUGCCUUCUCCUUUCACAUCUGCUCUCUCUACCUCAAGAUACAGGGGCAGUAGAGAUAGACACUUGACAUUCUCCUUUGUCCUUUCUGGCCAUGUGACGGCAACAUGCCUCUCACAGGGCCCUGGACUGGCAUUUAGGAGACCUUUGCUGCACGUGUGACUUGAGGCUGCUGAGCAAAGGUUAAAUGGAGCGUAUAAGUGGAGCUGACACCAGGUGGAUGAGAGCUGGCAGAGAUGGGAAGUGAAGCAGGUGAAAAGGAGGUAAGCAGUCAGGUAGGGCAGCCUAGCCCAAAAUGGCAGCUAAAGCAUAUUGAGCUUUUGGCUCAGUGGCUAGAAAUAUUACAGGACUCCAGCUCCAAUCAGACCCACCCACAUUAGUCAGUGAUGGUGAAAGUUGUAGCUCAACAACAUCCAGAGGGCCACAGGUUCCCAAUCCCUGUCUUUUCGUGCAUUUUGUACCCCCCCCCCCCAUUUUUGUAUGCAUUUUUGCACAUAUCAUUUGGCUACAGAACUGUUUUGCAAAAUCCAGAAAAGUGAAAUUUUGAAGGAGGGCUGUGUAUUCAGUUUGUGUAUUUUUUCAGAAAGUGCAAAAUUAAGUAUGUUGGCUGUCUUGCCCACCUGUCAAAAGUUGACCCAUGGGGUGGGGCUAGAUAAGGAUCUGGCCCACAGGGCCCCAAAGUUUCCCUGCCCUUCGUGCUAAGUCAUAGGUGGUGAUAUGCGAACCAGGCUGCCUUGUCAGGUCUUGACUUCAGGCAGCUGUGAGAGGGGAGCCAGGUGUCAAAGCUAAAGACCCAGAGCCAUGCAGGAUCAGAGUUCCCCAGGAAAGUCUCAGCCCAAGCAAGAAGCCUUUUGUAGUUCUUCCUAUCUAGAGCAGCCCAGUGACCAGACUAGUCAGAGAUUAUCAGCCAAACCUAACAAAUGUGUACUUUUGCUGGUUAGCAUGAGAAGGGGCUAAGUCCACAGAGCUGUAUUGCUGAUAGGUAGAUAUUCAGAUCAUAGAAAUACAUUUGAUAGAGAGGGCUCUGUGUGAUGUCAUUUCCCCUCCUUUCCUGGAGAAAAGGAACAUGUAGCACUUCUUCUCCUCUCUGUCUCACGUUCUGUUUUCUUUUACAGGCAGAUGCUUGAAGCUGGUAUUUUGUCUGCUUAGUUUUUCCCCUGCUUCCUUACUGUGAUCCAAUGCAUGAUUAUAAAGUAAGAAAAUCUUAUUUUUAAACUUACUUUACAAGUUGUUGCCCGACUCUUUGUUAAGUGGGGUAAGAAGGGGGAAGCCAGCUUACUUCAUUAGCUGGAUUUGCUCAAAAGGAGGCUUUGCAGCCUAAUUCCCAUGCUUUUAAUUUUGCUGCCAACGAUGGGAUUUUAAAACUCUGUUCAACCCCCACACAUGACUUCCUGGAAGGAUAAAUUGUAAUUAAUAUAUUCCCUCCUACCCAUUAAAAUCCAUCCACAAAACUAGGUGGGCAGGGUUCAGUCCAGGGCCUAAGAAUACCCCUCUGCCCAGAGAUAUACUGCAAACCAUAUGGGAACUCACCACAUGUGACAGCUGAAUGCAGAGCCUCGGUUUCCCAGUCCUUGCGCAGACUAUCAGAAAAAUCUCUUGUUCCCCAGUUCUGCUCGUGUUGUGUUUUGUGCUGCCACCUUUAAAACACGGAACAUGGUAGAAGGUGCAGCCAUUCACAGCUUCGACAGUGUGACUACAGUUAGUGCCUGAAGUGGUGGCUGAUGCCCACUAGGAUUUGAAGGGAAUAAGGCAAGGAGCCCAGUGGUAGGUGGAGCCAGACUCAAUGGCAGGCAGGCAGAGCAAACCAAUUCUUGUUUUCUCCCCACACUCCUCUCUGCUGAGUUCUAUGACUAAGGAGGAGGAGAGGGCUGUUGAGUAGUGUUACUUGCUAUAUUGGUUGUAAAUAAGAAGGGAGGCAGGUGGGAGCUGGCCGAGGGCAUACUGAGCUUGGUGGAGCAAUGCCCUGUUUGCCCAAAUGGAACUGCUUUUGUGUGUCUAGUCACCUUGGUUUCGUGUGUAGUCCGAGGCUAUGUGCUGUAAACUGGAAGAAAGCCUUCGCAGUUCAAUGGGAUCUGCUUCUGAGUGAUGGGAAAGUCCAUAGCUCAGUGUUAGAGUAACUAAUUUGCAUGUGGAAAGUUCAGUCUCUGGUGCCACCAGGUGGGUCUGGGUUAGACCCCUUUCUGAAACCCCAGAGAGCUGCUGUCACUCAGUGCAGACAGUACUGUGGGAGACGGGGCCAUUCAAUACACUGUCAGCUUCCUAGCAAGUCUGCUUACGAUUGCAGGCUUCGUGGUUAAAUAUCCAGAGAAAAUUUCCUGUCCAGCAUCGCCGACUCAAAGACAGCACGGAUUGCGCUCUAGCAAUGGAAGGCACAUUGAUUAAUUCAGUCUAUCAAAGGGAUGAGUACAUCAUCUAUGAUUCAUCAUUUGGGCAAAUUUCAGUUAACCGUUGGGAUUUCAUUUCUUACGAGAAAUAGCUCACAGCAACAAAAUAUAUGGACAAAUUCUGUCCAUAACAAGCUGCCUAUUUAUUAAGGGCAGAGCUCCCAAAACAGGAACUAUACAAAUUACAAAUGCUUGUCAAACCUUG
Molecule: non-coding RNA, 22650 nt
Organism: Podarcis lilfordi (Lilford's wall lizard)
Lineage: Eukaryota; Metazoa; Chordata; Lepidosauria; Squamata; Lacertidae
Source: the annotation of a GenBank genome assembly